GGCUGGUUGGAGGAGGUAGAUCACCCUUUCUGCGGGGGACGAUUUCGUCGGUGGUAGGCUGCUACCAUGAGGUUGAAUCAGAACACCUUGCUGCUGGGGAAGAAGGUGGUCCUUGUACCCUACACCUCGGAGCAUGUGCCCAGCAGGUACCACGAGUGGAUGAAAUCAGAGGAGCUGCAGCGUUUGACAGCCUCGGAGCCGCUGACCCUGGAGCAGGAGUAUGCCAUGCAGUGCAGCUGGCAGGAAGAUGCAGACAUGUACCUUCAUUGUGCUGGAUGCCGAGAAGUGGCAGGCCCAGCCAGGCGCCACCGAAGAGAGCUGCAUGGUGGGAGAUGUGAACCUCUUCCUCACAGAUCUAGAAGACCUCACCUUGGGGGAGAUCGAGGUCAUGAUUGCAGAGCCCAGCUGCAGGGGUAAGGGCCUUGGCACUGAGGCCGUUCUCGCGAUGCUGUCUUACGGAGGUGACCCUCAGACUGACAGUGAGUGAGUCCGAGCAUCAGUGGCUUCUGGAGCAGACCAGCCACGUGGAAGAGAAGCCUUACAGAGAUGGGUCGGCAGAGCCCUGCUGAUGGCUGGGCCUUGUGGGCAGCCACUCUGUGUGAGCAGGGUGUUGGGCCCAUACACUUCAAAGACCAGAGCCCUGCACUGGGAGAGUGCUCCUGGCCCAGGCUGGGAAUCACCUUUCGAGGCCCUUCAGACUCUGGCGGGGCUUGCUGUGGCCUCCCUCCAGCUAGUGGUGUGGCUGAGCAGACUCCAGGGCCAGGGCCAGUUCCCUUCUCCCCUCCCGGCCAAACCCAGACCCAGACUCUAGGAAGCUGGAAUGGAGGGCAGGGAUCCAUGGGAGAUGUCGGGAUGAAGGUGGGAGCUGGAGGUGCAGGGGGACCUGGAACAUGGAUGGGAGUGGACAGGCCUUUCUCCUUAGAGGCCAGAGGUGCUGCCCUGGCUGGGAGUGAAGCUCCAGGCACUACCAGCUUUCCUGAUUUUCCCGUUUGGUCCAUGUGAAGAGCUACCACGAGCCCCAGCCUCACAGUGUCCACUCAAGGGCAGCUUGGUCCUCUUGUCCUGCAGAGGCAGGCUGGUGUGACCCUGGGAACUUGACCCGGGAACAACAGGUGGUCCAGAGUGAGUGUGGCCUGGCCCCUCAACCUAGUGUCCGUCCUCCUCUCUCCUGGAGCCAGUCUUGAGUUUAAAGGCAUUAGUGUUAGAUACAGCUCCUUGUGGCUGGAAAACACCCCUCUGCUGAUAAAGCUCAGGGGGCACUGAGGAAGCAGAGGCCCCUUGGGGGUGCCCUCCUGAAGAGAGCGUCAGGCCAUCAGCUCUGUCCCUCUGGUGCUCCCACGUCUGUUCCUCACCCUCCAUCUCUGGGAGCAGCUGCACCUGACUGGCCACGCGGGGGCAGUGGAGGCACAGGCUCAGGGUGGCCGGGCUACCUGGCACCCUAUGGCUUACAAAGUAGAGUUGGCCCAGUUUCCUUCCACCUGAGGGGAGCACUCUGACUCCUAACAGUCUUCCUUGCCCUGCCAUCAUCUGGGGUGGCUGGCUGUCAAGAAAGGCCGGGCAUGCUUUCUAAACACAGCCACAGGAGGCUUGUAGGGCAUCUUCCAGGUGGGGAAACAGUCUUAGAUAAGUAAGGUGACUUGCCUAAGGCCUCCCAGCACCCUUGAUCUUGGAGUCUCACAGCAGACUGCAUGUGAACAACUGGAACCGAAAACAUGCCUCAGUAUAAAACAAACAUUAUAAA
Molecule: long non-coding RNA, 1741 nt
Filed under: Homo sapiens (human)
Lineage: Eukaryota; Metazoa; Chordata; Mammalia; Primates; Hominidae
Description: long non-coding RNA NONHSAT176564.1
Source: RNAcentral